RNAcentral lists this long non-coding RNA (1608 nucleotides) under Solanum lycopersicum (tomato). RNAcentral's name for it is "long non-coding RNA (SLYC_LNC000351)". The record is from RNAcentral. Lineage: Eukaryota; Viridiplantae; Streptophyta; Magnoliopsida; Solanales; Solanaceae.
CAUUGUUAUCUCCUACACUUGUUUAAUAAAUUUCUUCGACUUGUACGAUUUCAACAUCGGGUUCUAGAUCUCCAUCGUCGCUCUAUGGAAUCCAUGGAACUUGAUGAAUCAAUUGUCAGAUUGAAGUUCUUAAUUGUCCAUCUUUCUCAAGUUUAAAGAACCAAACUACAUAUUCAUUAUUUAGGUAUUCAUUCUAAUUUCAUAUGUAAAACAAACUUUUUAUUUUAUUUUGCUUAUUUUGUAUUUACAAUAUUACUUUGCAUACCAAAAAGCUUGCAUUUAGAUUUGAUUUUGUAUUCGUCCUAAUGGUAUACUAUCAAAUUUUAUAUUUAUAUUUGAUUUGUAUUCAUUCUCAAUUCUAAACAACUAAAAUACAGUUUAUUUAUGUUAUAUAUGCAUUCAACCUAAUUGCAUCAGUAAAAACCAAUUUUGUAUUUUAUUUUACUCAUUUUGUGUUUUCAAUAUCCCUUUGUAUACCAAAUAGUUUAUAUUUAGAUUUGAUAUUGUAUUCAUUUUUAAUUCUGGAUAAUCAAAAUAUAAUUUGUUUACGUACUCAUUAUAUGAGUAUUUAUACUAAUUGCAUUAGUAAAAUAGAUUUUUUAGUUUAUUUGACUCAUUUUGUAUUUUCAAUGUCACUUUAUAUGUCAGCUAGUUUAUAUUCAGAUUUGAAUUUGUAUUUUCAUAAUGGUAUACAAUCAGGUAUUGAAUUGUAUGGUCUAAUUUUUCAAUUGAAAUAAGUAUUUAUCGUGCUCAGUUUGUAAAAAAAAAGUUCAUUCAAAAUUUUGAAUACACAAAAAUCAUAUUUAAUGAAUUUUAUCCGAAUACAAAAAAAUCAUAUUUAAAGAAGUUCAUUCGAAUACAAUUCAGAUAAAAUUAUAUUUAAAAAAGUAAAAAUAAGUAAAGAUAAAAAAUUAAGGGAAAUAUUUUUACCUUUUCUGAAUUAUUUUCUCCUAUGAUUCUCUCCAUUCUGUUAUUAAAAGUUUGUAUUCUUUCAAAUUAAAUAAACACAGUCAAUAUUAUAACAAACUAAAAUAUUGACAUUUUAGAUAAAUAUUGAAAGUGUUGACAAGUGACCCUAUUAAAUGCUAAAAUAUUGCUAUUUUGAAAAAUUUUCCUAAAUAAAAGUCCAAUUUGGACCAACCCAUAUUUUCCCCAUAAGCCCAUUCUUAUGAGGAAAAUAAAAGCCUUUUUAGGUCUUAUUUUCAGAUAUAAAAAGAGUUUUUUAGCAGCCAAAAAGAAAAAAAGAGAGCAGUGUUUCGCAGUCAAAAAUUCAGCCCUAACAGUCAACUUCAAAUUGCGAUUCCUGCUUUGUUUCUUGUCCGAUUGAGCUGAUUUUUGGACAGCAUAUUAUAUUAAUCUCAAUCUUUGAUUAGGAACUGACAGAGUUGGAUUUGGUGGCCUGCAGCUUCAGUUUUGCUGUCGUGAACAGUAGCUGCAAAAUUGGUGAUUUUGCUCCUUUAAUUCUCUAGAUUUGGUGCAAUCUUAUUUUGUUGUUGCUCAUUGUUUGGCACUUGUUUUGUGGCCAAUUUUGGAGAACAAUAUUGUAACUCUUGGUGAUUAUAGUGGAGCUUUUGGUCCCGUGGUUUUUUACUCUUCACAUCGAAAGGC